This 73-nucleotide transfer RNA is filed under the name Saccoglossus kowalevskii. Its description in RNAcentral is "tRNA-Val". It matches the Rfam family "tRNA". From Rfam's summary of the family: Transfer RNA (tRNA) molecules are approximately 80 nucleotides in length. Their secondary structure includes four short double-helical elements and three loops (D, anti-codon, and T loops). Lineage: Eukaryota; Metazoa; Hemichordata; Enteropneusta; Harrimaniidae. The record is from RNAcentral.
GUGUUCGUAGUGUAGUGGUUAUCACGUUUGCCUCACACACGAAAGGCCCCCGGUUCGAACCCGGGCGAAAACA